CUCCCUCGCUUGCUCGCUCACACCACGUUCUCCCCAGCAAGGGGCAAGCCUCGAGCCUAGGGAAGGCAGCAGCACUCAGACUACCCCCACCCGGGCUGGGGCUCUCCCCCGCUCGCCAGAGGCUGCCAAGAAGGAGCGUCCUAGGAACAGGGGAGGGGACACCUGAGUCAGGAGCAGGACACGGAGCAAGCAGGGUCUUGAUGGGAGGGUGAGAUCGAGACAGCGCGGGGCUGACGCAGGCUGAGCGAAGUCGUGAGAAGUCUAGGGGUAGGAGAAGGCUAGGGCCAGGGGCAGGGAGGUGCAGGAAGGGGACACAGAGGAGAGUCCAGACUUGAGAACCACGGAGAGAAGAUUCUAUGAGCGUGAAGAAAACAAACCUAGACUGAGGCCACUGCAAAGGGGUUGUCGAGGUGCAGGCUGGGGCCAUGGAGAGGAGAAGAGUUUGGGGGAAGGGGGCCUAGCCUGGGCCACCGCAGCGAGAAGCACCGUCCUAGCCUGGACCCUGGGACCGAGGCGGAGGAUGCGGAAGGCGCUGAAAGUAGCCGAGGACCGGCCCUCCUCGCCCCACCCGGACCCGGAACUGGUGCGCCGGACGAGGCCCGGCCCUGAAAGAGCGAACGGAACCUACAAGGGGAUGCCGGCCCGGCCGCCCCUGUUGCUGAACGCCUGCUAUCACUACCAGGCUUGCAGCCUUUAGGUACCAAAAGAUGACAGGUGGAUAAAGAUCCCUGCCCGCACUUGAUGGCUACCAGACAGGGUAGUUGUGAGGAAGGCAUGGGUAAACAUUGGCCCAAUAAAUGCCGGCUGUUACGUA
This is a long non-coding RNA of Meriones unguiculatus (Mongolian gerbil), 814 nucleotides long. RefSeq lists it as uncharacterized. The record is from RefSeq and is a predicted model, not a curated record. Lineage: Eukaryota; Metazoa; Chordata; Mammalia; Rodentia; Muridae. The transcript is spliced from 2 exons.